RNAcentral lists this ribosomal RNA (578 nucleotides) under Phlebiella sp. 1 KUC8325. RNAcentral describes it as "eukaryotic LSU rRNA". It matches the Rfam family "Eukaryotic large subunit ribosomal RNA", at positions 66 to 628 of the family's 3401-position model. Lineage: Eukaryota; Fungi; Basidiomycota; Agaricomycetes; Xenasmatellaceae. The record is from RNAcentral.
UAACAAGGAUUCCCCUAGUAACUGCGAGUGAAGCGGGAAAAGCUCAAAUUUAAAAUCUGGUAGCCUUCGGUUGCCCGAGUUGUAGUCUGGAGAAGCGUCUUCCGCGCUGGACCGUGUACAAGUCUCUUGGAACAGAGCGUCAUAGAGGGUGAGAAUCCCGUCUUUGACACGGACUACCAGUGCUUUGUGAUGCGCUCUCAAAGAGUCGAGUUGUUUGGGAAUGCAGCUCAAAAUGGGUGGUAAAUUCCAUCUAAAGCUAAAUAUUGGCGAGAGACCGAUAGCGAACAAGUACCGUGAGGGAAAGAUGAAAAGCACUUUGGAAAGAGAGUUAAACAGUACGUGAAAUUGCUGAAAGGGAAACGCUUGAAGUCAGUCGCGUCGUCCAGAACUCAACCUGGCUUUUGCUUGGUGCACUUUCUGGUUGACGGGCCAACAUCAGUUUUGACUGUCGAAAAAAGUCCUUAGGAAUGUGGCACCCUCGGGUGUGUUAUAGCCUUUGGUCGUACGCGAUGGUUGGGACUGAGGACCGCAGCACGCCUUAUGGCCGGGGUUCGCCCACGUACGUGCUUAGGAUGUUG